Populus nigra (black poplar) is the source of this 2042-nucleotide long non-coding RNA. RefSeq lists it as uncharacterized. The transcript has 2 exons. The record is from RefSeq and is a predicted model, not a curated record. NCBI's taxonomy places the organism in Eukaryota, Viridiplantae, Streptophyta, Magnoliopsida, Malpighiales, Salicaceae.
AAGGGAGGGAGUUUUUGAAUUUAUUCUUGGCAAAUCAAGAGAAAAAUACCAAGCUGGCCAUCGAGAAUCUAGAGAGAGAUGUUCAGGGCAAUUUUGUAGAUCCUUUUUCUUUCUGGCUGACCCUGCCAGCGGCUUAUCCCUCUCUGGCAUGGAUUUGUUUUCUGCUUUCGUCUAUUGGGUUGCUUCCCCAUUUAGUGAGCGAUUCCAGUUUUCCCCGAUUAGGGCUCUUCAUCCACUCCUCUCUGUGGGUGUCCUAGUAGGCGAUCUGGAAUCUAAUUCUACCAAAGUCACGGUCCUUCUGCUAUUUCUUGACUGGGUAUCCACACCCUGCUCAGGCAUGGAGCUGCUCUGGCUUCUCUCUAAUGGGGUUUUUGAAGAACUUUUCGGCAUGGCUAUGCUAGAGCUACAGGAGACCCUCUCUCAGGUUGUAGGAUGGAUCCUCCCCCUCCUUUUUGUUGUCUCUGUCUGCUUGCCUUUCAGGGGAUUCUGUUUUCCUUUGCAUCCAAAUGAGGCUUCCAACCUCAUGGUAUUUGGUUUUUGUUGCUGCUUCUGUGGAGUCAGUAUCUCUGUCGUGCACAGUUAGCGUUUGUUGUUUGAGAUUUCUAUGCUGGAGCUCACUGCUUGCUUCAGUCUGUAUGGAUGUUUUCUGCUAUGAUACAGCACCGUGUGUUGCUUCCAUAAGCAGCUUUUGUUUGGGUUGUGGUUUGAUUGCUGGAGUCCCGUGGCUCCCACCCUGGUUUGUUAUCUUGUUUUCUCCAGACCUGCAGGCUCUGCAGAUUGCUUGUGAUGUUGCCCUUUUGGGGCUGGUUAUGGUUUCUCGGCUGUAUGUUCUGGAACUGUUUGAUCUGCUGCUGCUUACUGCAGUGUUGGGUGUAGCUGCUAUAUGUAGCUUGGAUUGCACUGCAUUCUCCUUCUUGAAGAUGGCUGGCGUUUCAUGCCAGUGUCUGUUGGAAUGUCCCAAUGGCAGCCAAUUCUCAUGCAUGAUCUGCUGAGUGAAUUGCUAGUCUGGUCAUGGACUCUACAGAUACUGCCCACUGAGCUGCCGUUUUCUGAAAGAUACACUGCAGGGUAUGGUCUGCUGCUAUAGGGCCUCUUGGGUGUUGCUGCUAAAUUCUAGAUGUUACUCGCUGUGCUUCUUGAAGCUGUAGGUUAUGUGUGGUCAUGCACUUUGUGUGGUCCGUUGUUUGUUGCUGGGAUUCUUUUGGCUCUUAUGGUUGGCUGUUGGGCAUGACCUUGAAUCCUCUUGUAGGAGUUGUUGCUGCUAUAUGCUAGUUUUUGUUGUUGGAGCUGUGCUGUGUGCUGGCUCCCUGGUUGUUCUAUGGGUUGGCUUUCAGUAGUAUUCCUUUUGCUGGAUGCUGCUGGUCUGUUGCAAAGGAUCUCUUUGCCUGUUGCGGGGCAUUGUUUGGGGUGUGCUUGGGUGAGGUUCUCUCCCCUUGCCCACAAUCUCUGCCUCUUGUUUUCGUUUUUGGUUCUUCUGCAGGUCUGUUUCGGCUGGCCUCUCUUGUUAGUGGCUAUGGAUCCCAACAGUUUGGGUGAGGUUCUCUCCCCUCAUAUUUGGGUUACAUUCAUGCUGUGGAGUAGAGAUGGUCUGCUGGUGAUUGGCCUCUUGGUUGCUGCUAUAUGCAGGUGGAAAUGUUGGAUUGUUGCUGCCACCCUGAGGUGGAGUUGUUUCCUGUGGUGCCCAGAGGGGCUUUGGUUUAUUGCAACUGUUGAAGCUUCUUUAUCUGCCAGUUGGGCUCAGUCAGGCUACUGCUGUAGCGUGUCGUCAGCUGGGUUGGAAGGUGUUUCAAUGUUGGUUAUUGGGUCUCCUAGCAGAUUUGCCUGCUAGGUUGUUUUUACCUUAUGGUUUUGAUACUCGUUCAAGGGAGCCUGUUCCCUCUUAUUCUAGGUUGAUCAAGGGGAGUUUGUUCCCCUUAGCCUUUCUAUUCAGCAAGCUUGUCUUGCUUAUGGUUUGUACAAGGAAGUCUGUUCCUUUGCUUUUUAUUCAGCAAGUUUGUCUUGCUUUUGUUUUGGUCAAGGGACUUUGUUCCCUUUUCCCUGUA